RNAcentral lists this unclassified non-coding RNA (413 nucleotides) under Hevea brasiliensis (rubber tree). The record is from RNAcentral. Lineage: Eukaryota; Viridiplantae; Streptophyta; Magnoliopsida; Malpighiales; Euphorbiaceae.
GUGAGGUCUCUUCACUUUGCAAUGAAUUGCCAAAAUUUUAAUGUACAAAUACAGUUACAGAUAUUUUACACAAAGCAAUGAGAAUUCAAAAGUCGAGCACAAAUCGCUUGGGUGAUUCCUAUAACAAUUUAUUACAGUGGUGCCUAGUGAUUCUGAAAACUUGCAUGGAAAUACUGGACACUGAAUAAUUUUUCUCAUCUGGAGGACAUUUCAUCCUCUCUAUUAUUUCAACAGCCUAUGGCGAUGAACAGUCUCUAGCUAACUGGUAAUCCUGCAAUGCUGGCAUUGGUAUUCUGUCCCUUGAUGAAACUCUUUUGAAAAUUAGAUUUAUUAGUUCUUUUGCAUAAAUUAGAAGGAAUUAGACAAAGUCGGGCUGGCCUGUUGAAGUCAAGCAACGAUGCCACAUGCGGCUG